GACGAACGCUGGCGGCGUGCUUAACACAUGCAAGUCGAACGAAGAGCGCCGGACGCUUGCUUCUAUCAAUCUUAGUGGCGAACGGGUGAGUAACGCGUAAUCAACCUGCCCUUCAGAGGGGGACAACAGUUGGAAACGACUGCUAAUACCGCAUACUAUCUAACCUGGGCAUCGAGGCUAGAUGAAAGGUGGCCUCUACAUGUAAGCUAUCACUGAAGGAGGGGAUUGCGUCUGUUUAGCUGGAUGGAGGGGUAACGUCCGACCAAGGCGAUGAUCGGGAGCCGGUCUGAGAGGAUGAACGGCCACAGUGGGACUGAGACACGGCCCAGACUCCUACGGGAGGCAGCAGUGGGGAAUCUUCCGCAAUGGACGAAAGUCUGACGGAGCAACGCCGCGGGAGUGAUGACGGCCUUCGGGUUGUAAAGCUCGGUUAAUCGGGACGAAAGGCCUUCUUGCGAAUAGCGAGAAGGAUUGACGGUACCGGAAGAGAAAGCCACGGCUAACUACGUG
Molecule: ribosomal RNA, 510 nt
Filed under: uncultured bacterium
Lineage: Bacteria
Description: partial 16S ribosomal RNA
Rfam family: Bacterial small subunit ribosomal RNA
Source: RNAcentral